This 395-nucleotide ribosomal RNA is filed under the name uncultured bacterium. RNAcentral's name for it is "partial 16S ribosomal RNA". It matches the Rfam family "Bacterial small subunit ribosomal RNA", at positions 523 to 918 of the family's 1533-position model. The record is from RNAcentral.
AUACGUAGGGUGCAAGCGUUAAUCGGAAUUACUGGGCGUAAAGCGUGCGCAGGCGGUUUUGUAAGACAGAGGUGAAAUCCCCGGGCUCAACCUGGGACCUGCAUUUGUGACUGCAAGGCUAGAGUACCGCAGAGGGGGAUGGAAUUCCCGGUGUAGCAAGGAAAUGCGUAGAUAUGCGGAGGAACACCGAUGGCGAAGGCAAUCCCCUGGGCCUGUACUGACGCUCAUGCACGAAAGCGUGGGGAGCAAACAGGAUUAGAUACCCUGGUAGUCCACGCCCUAAACGAUGUCAACUGGUUGUUGGGUCUUCAUUGACUCAGUAACGAAGCUAACGCGUGAAGUUGACCGCCUGGGGAGUACGGCCGCAAGGUUGAAACUCAAAUGAAUUGACGGGG